Molecule: ribosomal RNA, 274 nt
Filed under: uncultured bacterium
Lineage: Bacteria
Description: partial 16S rRNA
Rfam family: Bacterial small subunit ribosomal RNA
Source: RNAcentral
CUGCCCUUAGUUGCCACUCUUCGGAGGGCACUCUAAGGGGACCGCCGGCGAUAAGCCGAGGAAGGUGGGGAUGACGUCAGGUCAGUAUGCCCUUUAUGCCCGGGGCUACACAGGCGCUACAGUGGCCAGGACAAUGGGAAGCGACCCAGUAAUGGGGAGCAAAUCCCUAAACCUGGUCAUGGUGCAGAUUGAGGGCUGAAACUCGCCCUCAUGAAGCCGGAAUCGGUAGUAAUGGCGGAUCAGCUAAGCCGCCGUGAAUACGUUCUCGGGCCUU